AAAUUGAAGAGUUUGAUCAUGGCUCAGAUUGAACGCUGGCGGCAGGCCUAACACAUGCAAGUCGAACGGUAACAGGAAGCAGCUUGCUGUUUCGCUGACGAGUGGCGGACGGGUGAGUAAUGGCUGGGAAACAGCCUGAUGGAGGGGGAUAACUACUGGAAACGGUAGCUAAUACCGCAUAACGUCGCAAGACCAAAGAGGGGGACCUUCGGGCCUCUUGCCAUCGGAUGUGCCCAGAUGGGAUUAGCUAGUAGGUGGGGUAACGGCUCACCUAGGCGACGAUCCCUAGCUGGUCUGAGAGGAUGACCAGCCACACUGGAACUGAGACACGGUCCAGACUCCUACGGGAGGCAGCAGUGGGGAAUAUUGCACAAUGGGCGCAAGCCUGAUGCAGCCAUGCCGCGUGUAUGAAGAAGGCCUUCGGGUUGUAAAGUACUUUCAGCGGGGAGGAAGGGAGUAAAGUUAAUACCUUUACUCAUUGACGUUACCCGCAGAAGAAGCACCGGCUAACUCCGUGCCAGCAGCCGCGGUAAUACGGAGGGUGCAAGCG
This 550-nucleotide ribosomal RNA is filed under the name Shigella flexneri. RNAcentral describes it as "bacterial SSU rRNA". It matches the Rfam family "Bacterial small subunit ribosomal RNA", at positions 1 to 540 of the family's 1533-position model. The record is from RNAcentral. Lineage: Bacteria; Pseudomonadati; Pseudomonadota; Gammaproteobacteria; Enterobacterales; Enterobacteriaceae.